CCUUCGGAGAGUUUGAUCCUGGCUCAGGAUAAACGCUGGCGGCGUGCAUGAGACAUGCAAGUCGAACGGACGACCAAGGCUUGCUUUGGUCGUUAGUGGCGGACGGCUGAGUAACGCGUAGGCGACCUACCCUGAAGUGGGGAAUAACUGCCCGAAAGGGUGGCUAAUACCGCAUGUGGUGAUGCGUUCGUUCGCAUCAGUAAAGCCGCAAGGCGCUUCGGGACGGGCCUGCGUCCGAUUAGCUCGUUGGUGGGGUAACGGCUCACCAAGGCGACGAUCGGUAGGUGGUCUGAGAGGACGAUCACCCAGACUGGGACUGAGACACGGCCCAGACUCCUACGGGAGGCAGCAGUCGGGAAUUUUGCGCAAUGG
RNAcentral lists this ribosomal RNA (372 nucleotides) under Chloroflexota bacterium. RNAcentral describes it as "bacterial SSU rRNA". It matches the Rfam family "Bacterial small subunit ribosomal RNA", at positions 1 to 374 of the family's 1533-position model. Lineage: Bacteria; Bacillati; Chloroflexota. The record is from RNAcentral.